This is a non-coding RNA of Anas platyrhynchos (mallard), 4281 nucleotides long. Lineage: Eukaryota; Metazoa; Chordata; Aves; Anseriformes; Anatidae. The record is from RefSeq and is a predicted model, not a curated record.
GCAAAAGGAUGUGUGAGCAGAAACCAUAGCUGAAUAACUUAAGUAUAGAAGGUUUGGGGGAGAAUGGGAAUAAGUUAUUUUCAGAUGAUGAAUAUAAAUUACUUUUCAGAUAUGCUUUUCAGAUCAUCACAGCUAAACCUAAUGUGAGUGUGACCAGCUGGUUUAGCAGGUGUGAUGCUCAUGUGAUCAGCAUAAUUUAAAAUAUACUCCCUGCACCUGCCCAACUGUGAUUGGAAGGGGGGAAAAGUUGCUGCUCCAUUGCUGAAGAUUUAGCAACCAGAGUCUGCUACUCAAUAAUGACUGAAAUCAGUUUUGUGUUCAUGUCUUUUUGCUGAAAUAAUACAGCUAUAAACAUGGAGUUUAAUAUUGGUCAUAGCCAUCCAGUUCAGUCAGAAGCAACGCAGUAGCACCAGAGAAUCAGAUUCUGAGACGUGUCAUCUCGGUGCUGAGGAAUGUGCAUUGGAGGCAGUGCUGGAGGUGACACUGUUUGUUGCUCAAGAUGUGAGGAGCAGGCUUGGAGCUUUAGACAAGAAUUGAAUGUUCUAAACCAAAAAUCACUCUCUUGGCAACUGUUGUACAAGUAUAGCCAAUGCAUGAAAUAUCUUCUCUGACUCCUCCUGCAUCUGACUUUUCCUUUUUGAUGUCUCUGAAGCCACGUCUGUUUGACAAGGCUAAGCUGCUUGAUGCAUAUCUUACUCCCCUAGCCAACAGAAGUGCAGAAAAUGGGUGCUUCAGUAGAGUCAGUAGGCAGUGUCAGAUGAAAGACACACUUCUUCCUGCAAUUCUAGCCAACAGUGCUUGCUGAAAGAAAAAUAUAGCUCAAGAGAAGUGUAUGUGAUAUUUCUUCCUCCAUCCAGCACUCAGCUGCAGUUCCCUGUGCACCUUAAGGCAGUGAUCGUUUGCCAGAGCAUACACGGAUGGGAAAAAAUAUCACUGGAAAUAGCUGAAGCUGUGAUAUUUAUCUUAAGACAGAGAGGAGUUCUACUAGAGGCCUGAUGCAGGCUUCUCAAUCUCUCUCCAUCCAGGCAUGCAGGUGGGCUUCGCCUGGCCACAUCCUCCAGCCACGCACUGCACACCCAGCAGGCACGCACGGAGCUCAGCCAGGAGAACCCAUGCGAUGGUGGUGUGUGGGAUGCCAGAUUCCUACCAGGUCAGAGACAGGUCAGGAGUGAGAAAAUGCAGAAGAAAUGCAGCCCAACUCAUUCCACAGGCCCACUGUCACGCUGCUGUUGAGUCUGUGUGUGUGUGUGUGUGUUGCAAUUACGGUGCAGAGCCCACCAAGUGUAUCUGAAGAGCCGGCUUGGUCCCUGGUAAAGGAAUGUUCCCAGACGUGCUGCAGAGACUUUGCCUCUCGUGUGAUAUGUACAGCAUUUCUUUCCCUUUGUUCCAGAAAGGAGCAUUUGGCUUAUGGUUACUUGGACGCGUUGCAAAAAAAUAAAGCAUUGCAUUAUGAGAAAGGGAGCCACUCAUUAAAAAAUAAAAAAAAUAAAAAAUGCAAAAAGUCGUGUAAAAUGUGAAAUAAAUAUAGAAGAAAAGAAACCCUGUACAAGAGCCAACUGCAUCAAAAUCCCCAUAAAUUGUGAAGUUUUCAGCACUGUGAUGAAGUCAUGCAAUCAGGAAGAUUGUGGUGUCUUGAGGAAUGACGCAGUCCAACUUGCAGCCCACACGUAGCUUGCCUGCCGUGCGUCCCAGCAGCAAAACAGGCGAGGUGGAAUCCGGCAGCGAUCAGAUUCCCCCAGCCUGAGCCCCUCACCCUGCAUCUUGGCUGCCCACAGCAUGCUGUGCUUCCAGGUCUGGGGAAAAGGCUGGAUGUGGUAAGGCAGGGAAUGCAAGGCUAAGCAGGCAGGAUUGUCCUGGUUGUUUUAUUAAUAAACAGAAAAAGCAAUUCGAGUUUUUGUUUGUUUGUUUGUUUAUUGUUCCUUGCUGCAAUAUUCACCAUGCCUAAUUUUGACUGUGGUUCUGAUUAUGACCUUGCAGCUCAGACCUUGUAGUGCUGAGAAAGACCCUACAUGCUCUGGACCCCACUCCUCUUUCCACCACAGCUAUAGAGGACUUCAGAGAAGACUGUGGAUCUGCUGAUCUGCAUCAAGGCAAGAUGUGAGAUGCCGUCAGGGUCAUAGGAAGCUAACAGAGAUGGUGCCAAGCGAUGGGACAGGUUUCCAUGAGUCAUGGAGCUAAGAAUGCACAGCAAGAAGUACCAUCCAGUUGAUUCCCAGCCACCUCCUCACAAUGAUCUGAAUUUCUCCAUUUCAGUAAAACUCCAGAUUUUUUCACAGAACCACUCGCAGCUCCUGGUCAGUGGGCCGUGCAUCGUUUGCUUUGAUUACGUUUGUGGUUUCUUUAUGGUGGAGGCUCACUGCCUGCUCAGACAGCUGGCUUGAUGGUCUUCAUAUUUUCCAAAACCACUUGACCUUAACUGCAGUUAAUUUGUGGGGCAAGGCUGAUGAACAGCAGGCCUCCCGACUGCUGUCCUCAAUCAGCGAGGAGCAGGGACAGAGCCCUCCUCUCACCCUGAAAGGGAAGGCACUGCCCAGCAAAGCUGUGAGGCUUGUAGAAGCACGAUGCCAGGAGAGCCCAACACAUGGCUAAUGGUAAAACCACCACACAUUAAGAACAGAGUUUUUUUCCCAGAAAUAUCCAAACACUUUGACAGCUCAGCAGCAGCUCAACACUUUGGUUACAGUGAAAUUUCACAGCAUAAAAAGCUCCUUCCUGGCUCUUUUAGGAGUUGUUUUUGCAUUUCUGAACCUCACAUAACAAAAGGCAUGGUAGUGCAGAAGAAUUCAGCCUUUGUGUGGCUGCAGUGCUCAAAUAGGAAGGAGCCUCUCUGAAUCAGAAAAUGAAGAGAAGGGAAGUAUGAAGGAGUCCAAGGACAUUCCUUGCACUUUUGGUAUGUGAGGGCAAACAAAAGGCACACAUUGCAUCUUAAUCUUUGGCUGUAUCUGAUAAAAUAAUUAAUGCUAGAAGUGAUCAAAAUAAUUCUCCUAAUGAACAGUUUUAUCCCAUCUCCUGACUCCCCUAUACAUCAGCAGCAGAAACACUAAUGUGCUAAUUAGCCAUAUGCUAAUGAAUUAAAUUGUCACUGCUGUCUUACUGCAAGAUCUGUAUUAUUGAUCGUAUUGAAAUCAGAUUCACCUCAGUUUGUGUUUGCAUCUGUGAUCAUUCUGAAGGGUGUUUCUGUGUGCCUAAAGAAACCCCUGGUUUUGGAGGACUGAAACAUACCCUUAACUCUAAAUGUGGAUGGUGAUACGGAUGGUUCCCAAACAGUGUGAAGUGUAUGCAGGGUUGAAAGAGGGUCAGCAGAACAGGUGUGCUGAACAAAUUUCAUCUCAGAGUAAAGCUGAUAAUGCUGUUUUGGUAAUGAUCAUUCUGAAUCCAUCUACGUUUUAGACGCUACAGCUGGUCCCAGACCUUUUUCUCUGUCUUUUUAGCCACAGGGGAAGAAUUGUAGACUUUGCUACCGGUGUUGCUCUUGAAAUGCUAUGACUUUGCUCACUCAGCCCUCAUGUUUCGAAUCACCGUUGCUUUGGUGGGGAUGGGGCAGGGGAGGAAGUUGUUUUCUUUCCCCUGGAUGCUAUUAAGAAAAAUCAUGAACUGUCUGAUUGUUAUUUUUCUUUUUUGGAGGGGGUCUUAAAAUGGUGAGAGUAACAAAUGUGCUAAACCUCACACCACCAGAAAUCCAAGGAAACAGAACAUCUAUUUAUAAAACCAAAAAUACAAAUUGCCCCCAGCAUUCACGCAUCAUUAGAAAGCUAAACCACAGUCCCAGAAAUCAAGCCCUUCACUCCCAACAUGUGCUCACAGCACAGGGAGGGACGAGCAGACACAAAGCCACUCUGUAAGGAGGUGCACGGAGGAGAAGCCAAGGCACUGCCAAGCCUCUGCAGCCAGAAAACCCCAGGAGGUGAGCCAGUCCCAAGGAGACCAGGAAAGCUAAUUAAGUAGAAAAGAAGUUUGGGGAAAAUCUCAUGGUUUUUGCCACUUGUGAAUGAAGGGCACGCUUCAGCUCUGAUGCGGUCUGCCCGGAGCCCUUCAACUCCUUGCAAAGCUGAUGGAUGCUGUGUUGGACCAGCACCAGCCUGUUUCAGGGGUGGUGGGUUCCUUCUCUGCUCAGCCUCCCAGCUCUGCUUCCUGGUGCCUUGCUGAGUUUAAAUGAUACAAAACUGAGGACGCUAUUCCCAUGUGCUCACCCAUUUCGUUCCUCUUGAAAUCAACUUGUGCUCAGGCACAAACACAGGAGAUUCAUCUGGCUACAAAUCGGACGGUUGAUUCAGAUCCAUU